GGGCUCGUAGCUCAGUUGGUUAGAGCACACGCCUGAUAAGCGUGAGGUCGGCCGUUCAAGUCGGCCCGGGCCCACCA
Molecule: transfer RNA, 77 nt
Filed under: Deltaproteobacteria bacterium
Lineage: Bacteria; Pseudomonadati; Myxococcota; Myxococcia
Description: tRNA-Ile
Rfam family: tRNA
About the family: Transfer RNA (tRNA) molecules are approximately 80 nucleotides in length.
Source: RNAcentral